UUGUAAUUGUGAAUAGUAUUUGCAAUUUGGAUAAGCAAACCACAAACAAUUUUAGUAAUAAUGAGAAUAAUGGGCAUACAAAUUUGAAUGGAAAGAUUGACAUUGAUGCAAUUUCCCCAAUUUCACCUAAUAUUUUUUUAUCUAACAGUCAAUGAAUUUGGACCACAAAAUGUAUUUUGGGUGAGAAUUGUGAUUAUAAUUCUGAAUUUUGAUAUUUUUAGACACUACAGCUUCUUGCUGAAGUGGCUGUUUUGGAAGAGGAGGUUGUUAGGCUUGAAGAACAGGUUGUGCAUUUCAAACAACGCCUUUAUCAGGAAGCUGUUUGCAGAAUAAUUUCAUUACCUGAACAUUGAAUGCCUAGAUGAUUUUCCCUUUUGAAUUUUUCAGUCUUGUGCAUUUUCCUGGAGUCUUCUAAGUUCUAUUGCUCUGAACAUUGAGGCAUUCAAGUCGAAAUUGAUAAAGAUAAUAAGUUUGAGCAAUGUUUAGAAAAUUUCUAUAUAAUGUUGUGUCACAGGUUGUUAAGGUGGCUGAUUUUGGAGGUGCUAGAGUGAAAUCUCAAACUGAAGUUAUGAUGGCAGAAACUGGGACAUAUCGAUGGAUGGCUCCUGAGGUUAUAGAACACAGCCCUAUGAUCACAAGGCUGAUAUUUUUAGCUUCGGGAUUGUAUUGUGGGAGUUGCUAACCGGAAAGCUGGAAAAGGAGAUAAUAGAUCUGACUCUGCAACGAGACGUUGCUCAAUCUCAGGUUCAGGAUUUGCUAUGAUUGGCUGGGGAUGAAGAUUCAAUGGUAGGUUUGAAUAACUACCCUCACUUGCGAGUUCAGAAAUCGCCAGAUUCUGGAAAUGCAACAUCAAAAGCAUCCCCUUCAUCAUAUCCUCACUUCUUGGAUGUUAGUGUCAGAGCAUUUGACAGAUCUCUGUCUUCUUAUAGACGUGUGAGUAGUUUUGUUGAUCACUACAUACAAAUUCCCAACUUUGAAGAAAACUUUCAGCAGAAUGAUGCUUUUCCACACCUAUUGGUCACUACUGCU
Molecule: non-coding RNA, 1029 nt
Organism: Camellia sinensis
Lineage: Eukaryota; Viridiplantae; Streptophyta; Magnoliopsida; Ericales; Theaceae
Source: RefSeq, a predicted model, not a curated record